RNAcentral lists this ribosomal RNA (529 nucleotides) under uncultured Steroidobacter sp. RNAcentral describes it as "bacterial SSU rRNA". It matches the Rfam family "Bacterial small subunit ribosomal RNA", at positions 397 to 916 of the family's 1533-position model. Lineage: Bacteria; Pseudomonadati; Pseudomonadota; Gammaproteobacteria; Steroidobacterales; Steroidobacteraceae. The record is from RNAcentral.
CCGCGUGAGUGAAGAAGGCCUGCGGGUUGUAAAGCCCUUUCGGCCCUUAUUAAAAGCCUCGAGCUAACACCUCGGGGUCUUGACGUCACCCAUAGAAGAAGCACCGGCUAACUCUGUGCCAGCAGCCGCGGUAAUACAGAGGGUGCGAGCGUUAAUCGGAAUUACUGGGCGUAAAGCGCGCGUAGGCGGCUUUGCUAAGUCGGGUGUGAAAUCCCCAGGCUUAACCUGGGAACUGCAUUCGAGACUGCAUUGCUAGAGUAUGGGAGAGGGAAGUGGAAUUUCCUGUGUAGCAGUGAAAUGCGUAGAUAUCGGAAGGAACAUCAGUGGCGAAAGCGACUUCCUGGACCAAUACUGACGCUCAUGUGCGAAAGCGUGGGGAGCAAACAGGAUUAGAUACCCUGGUAGUCCACGCCAUAAACGAUGAGAACUGGAUGUCGGGAGGGUCUGCCUCUCGGUGUCGUAGCUAACGCGUUAAGUUCUCCGCCUGGGGAGUACGGCCGCGAGGUUGAAACUCAAAGGAAUUUGACGG